UCCGGUUUGUCACCGGCAGUCUCGUAUGAGUCCCCAACUAAAUGCUGGCAACAUACGACGGGGGUUGCGCUCGUUGCGGGACUUAACCCAACAUCUCACGACACGAGCUGACGACAGCCAUGCACCACCUGUGAUAGUGCCCCGAAGGGAAGCCAUGUUUCCAUGGCGGCCACUAACAUGUCAAACCCAGGUAAGGCUCUUCGCGUUGCGUCGAAUUAAGCCACAUACUCCACCGCUUGUGCAGGCCCCCGUCAAUUUCUUUGAGUUUUAAUCUUGCGACCGUACUCCCCAGGCGGCGCAUUUAUCGCGUUAGCUUCGCCACAGAAGGGGUCGAUUCCUCCUACAGCAAAUGCGCACCGUUUAGGGCCGGGACUAC
This 376-nucleotide unclassified non-coding RNA is filed under the name uncultured bacterium. RNAcentral's name for it is "contains 16S-23S intergenic spacer region". The record is from RNAcentral.